This is a long non-coding RNA of Prionailurus viverrinus (fishing cat), 730 nucleotides long. RefSeq lists it as uncharacterized. Lineage: Eukaryota; Metazoa; Chordata; Mammalia; Carnivora; Felidae. The record is from RefSeq and is a predicted model, not a curated record. The transcript is spliced from 4 exons.
AGUCGGACGCUUAACCGACUGCGCCACCCAGGCGCCCCUCUCCUUUAUUAUUUUAAUGAAUUAUGCUGAUUCCCUGAUGUUGAAUCAUCCUUGCAUUCCUAUAAUAUUUGCUUGGCUGUUCUCCUACAUUGUAUCACUUGAUCAUUGCAACAGUGCUGUGGAGGGCACUGUUACCACCCAGGACCAAAGGAAACUGAAGCUCUGAACAAUUAAGUAUUUACUCAAAGUUACACAAGAAGUAGCUCCAAGCUCUCUCCCUGGAUUCAUCUGAGUUGAAGUUCAGAGCCUCUCUGAGACACUCUGCAAGAGAUGGAGAGAACAGUGUGGCCCCAGUGCAAGGCAAAUGCCUACUUCAAAGGAAGAUGAAGUGACUGUCGCUGUAUUCUCACCAGAGAGGAAGGAAGAAAGGAAGACUUUUUUGUGUGCCCAUUGCUUGGAGUUUACUAGUUUACUGCUAUAUUGAUAUUCACUCUUGUAUACAGAGAAGAGAGAAGGAAGGAAGGGGAAUAAAGAGAAACAAGGAGGCUCAUCAGUUCUGUCCCAAAUCAAAUCAACCAAACGUAUGUGAAAUUUGUACAAAGUAUUUACCUGUUAACUUUUAUGUGAUACUUGUAUUAAAAGUUAACAAUAGUAUAAUCAUUUUCCUUUCAAAAGCCUCUGAAGUUUCAGGCUGGUUUAGAUUGCAUUUUCAGAGUCCAUGGUAUUAACAAAAAUGUAGAUAUUAAUUAAA